Molecule: long non-coding RNA, 1288 nt
Organism: Bos taurus (domestic cattle)
Lineage: Eukaryota; Metazoa; Chordata; Mammalia; Artiodactyla; Bovidae
Source: Ensembl
GGAAAAGAAAGAAGGACUGGCCUCCAGGCUUCCUUACUUCCUGUCCUAAUUCCCUCAAAGUGGCCCGCCUCCUCCUCCUCCUCUGCUUCCCCUGGGCCCCACCCAGCGGAUGGGGGAUGUUUACACAUCUGACCCGGUGACCCAUAUUCCAGGCGGUAAGGAGCUGGGAGGGAGGCUGGCAGGUUCUGAAAGGCCGCAGCCAUUCCUCCUGAAGCAAAGGCCGGUGAUGGAGCUCUGAGUGUUGGGCCCACGGAACUUUCUAGAGGUGUGUGCAGCCUCCACCCGUGUUUGCUGUGAGGUCACCGGGCUCAGCACUGGGGCAGUAGGAGAGGAGCAGAGCCAGGAGAUUUGGGCUGCAGUGGUCCCUGGACUCUGGGGUGCGCAGGGCUUGCGCCCUAGCUUUUCCUUCUCCCAAUCCAAAGGGCACAGCCAUCCUCACUCACCACCCCCACUGCCAGAGCGACCAUCAUCCAGGGCAGAGGCCACCUUCUGGCUGGACCUCUCCCUUCUUCUCUCCGUCCCUCAGCUCGGGAGCAGUUGGCUCUGCCUCCCCGGCUGGUGCCUCUCAGUGGAGGGCAGACGAGCAGUGCGUGCUCAGGACCACCCUGCAGCCUGGGCUCCUCGCCCGUCGCGGUCACUCUAGCAUGGCACCCCUCCAGCUGGGGGGAGCUGGGGGAAGCUGGCUAGACUGCGAGUCUGACCCUUGACUCGUGGGUCCAGCAGGAGACAGUUCCUCGAACUUUUCACAGAGGACCUGCCUGGGCCCAGGUCCUGUGUCCAUAACUGUCCUUCAAAUAGACGCUGCAUCAUUCAGUCAAAUAAUUAGGGACAUCCAGGCCAGGCGCCACAGUGGUAAAGAAUCUGCCUGCCCAUGCAGGAGAUGCCAGAGACGCAGACAGGGGAAACUGGCGGGCUACAGUCCAUGGGGUCACAAAAGAAUCAGACACAACUGAGCGACUGAGCAUCCUCACCCUGGAUAAGACGGUGUAGACAGGUCCCUUCCUGCUCCUCUCUGCAAAACACAGCUACAAACCCUGGGGUGAUGCAGGAGGCAACCAAAGGGGGUUCUGACGACUGGAAAGAAGGUGAGCUGAUCAGGGAUCACAAGGCUGAGUCUGAAUGGGAAACAGCUGGGCAUCUAUGAUCCCCCAGGCCCCUGUCCCGACCCAACAGAAGCAGGCGACCCAGGUGUGCCUUCCUCAAGCAGGCUCACUGCUCUCCUGGACUGACCCGAAGCCUCACCAAACACAAGCUCUACCAGGCAGAACCAGCAAGGGGACCGACCCGG